RNAcentral lists this transfer RNA (72 nucleotides) under Sphaerodactylus townsendi. RNAcentral describes it as "tRNA-Ala". It matches the Rfam family "tRNA". From Rfam's summary of the family: Transfer RNA (tRNA) molecules are approximately 80 nucleotides in length. Their secondary structure includes four short double-helical elements and three loops (D, anti-codon, and T loops). Lineage: Eukaryota; Metazoa; Chordata; Lepidosauria; Squamata; Sphaerodactylidae. The record is from RNAcentral.
GAAGCCAUGGCCCAGGAGCAAAGCAUCUGCUUGGCACUCAGGAGGUCCCAGGUUCAAUCCCUGGCAUCUUCA